UCCCAGACCGUCAGCGGCGGACGGGUGAGUAACACGUGGGCAACCUGCCUGUAAGACUGGGAUACUCCGGGAAACCGGUNGCUAAUACCGGAUAACUCUUUNCCUCACAUGAGGAAAAGCUGAAAGAUGGCAUCUCGCUAUCACUUACAGAUGGGCCGGCGGCGCACUAUNUAGUUGGUGAGGUAACGGCUCACCAAGGCNACGAUGCGUAGCCGACCUGAGAGGGUGAUCGGCCACACUGGGACUGAGACACGGCCCAGACUCCUACGGGAGGCAGCAGUAGGGAAUCUUCCGCAAUGGACGAAAGUCUGACGGAGCAACGCCGCGUGAGUGNGNAAGGUUUUCGNAUCGUAAAACUCUGUUGUCAGGGAAGAACAAGUACCGGAGUAACUGCCGGUACCUUGACGGUACCUGACCAGAAGGCCACGGCUAACUACGUGCCAGCAGCCGCGGUAAUACGUAGGUGGCAAGCGUUGUCCGGAAUUAUUGGGCGUAAAGCGCGCGCAGGCGGUUCCUUAAGUCUGAUGUGAAAGCCCCCGGC
Molecule: ribosomal RNA, 541 nt
Filed under: marine bacterium SIMO-1648
Lineage: Bacteria
Description: bacterial SSU rRNA
Rfam family: Bacterial small subunit ribosomal RNA
Source: RNAcentral